CAGUGGGGAAUAUUGGGCAAUGGGCGAAAGCCUGACCCAGCAACGCCGUGUGAAGGAAGAAGGUCUUCGGAUCGUAAACUUCUAUCCCCGGUGAAGAUAAUGACGGUAACCGGGAAGGAAGCCCCGGCUAACUACGUGCCAGCAGCCGUGGUAAUACGUAGGGGGCAAGCGUUGUCCGGAAUGAUUGGGCGUAAAGGGCGCGUAGGCGGCUCGGUAAGUCUGGAGUGAAAUUCCUGCUUUCAAGGUGGGAACUGCUUUGGAUACUGUCGGGCUUGAGUGCAGGAGAGGUAAGUGGAAUUCCCGGUGUAGCGGUGAAAUGCGUAGAGAUCGGGAGGAACACCAGUGGCGAAGGCGACUUACUGGACUGUAACUGACGCUGAGGCGCGAAAGUGUGGGGAGCAAACAG
This 406-nucleotide ribosomal RNA is filed under the name uncultured bacterium. RNAcentral describes it as "bacterial SSU rRNA". It matches the Rfam family "Bacterial small subunit ribosomal RNA", at positions 352 to 775 of the family's 1533-position model. The record is from RNAcentral.